GGGUUGUGAGGUUAAGCGACUAAGCGUACACGGUGGAUGCCCUGGCAGUCAGAGGCGAUGAAGGACGUGCUAAUCUGCGAUAAGCGUCGGUAAGGUGAUAUGAACCGUUAUAACCGGCGAUUUCCGAAUGGGGAAACCCAGUGUGAUUCGUCACACUAUCAUUAACUGAAUCCAUAGGUUAAUGAGGCGAACCGGGGGAACUGAAACAUCUAAGUACCCCGAGGAAAAGAAAUCAACCGAGAUUCCCCCAGUAGCGGCGAGCGAACGGGGAGCAGCCCAGAGCCUGAAUCAGUGUGUGUGUUAGUGGAAGCGUCUGGAAAGGCGCGCGAUACAGGGUGACAGCCCCGUACACAAAAAUGCACAUGCUGUGAGCUCGAUGAGUAGGGCGGGACACGUGGUAUCCUGUCUGAAUAUGGGGGGACCAUCCUCCAAGGCUAAAUACUCCUGACUGACCGAUAGUGAACCAGUACCGUGAGGGAAAGGCGAAAAGAACCCCGGCGAGGGGAGUGAAAAAGAACCUGAAACCGUGUACGUACAAGCAGUGGGAGCACAGAGCAAUCUGUGUGACUGCGUACCUUUUGUAUAAUGGGUCAGCGACUUAUAUUCUGUAGCAAGGUUAACCGAAUAGGGGAGCCGAAGGGAAACCGAGUCUUAACUGGGCGUUAAGUUGCAGGGUAUAGACCCGAAACCCGGUGAUCUAGCCAUGGGCAGGUUGAAGGUUGGGUAACACUAACUGGAGGACCGAACCGACUAAUGUUGAAAAAUUAGCGGAUGACUUGUGGCUGGGGGUGAAAGGCCAAUCAAACCGGGAGAUAGCUGGUUCUCCCCGAAAGCUAUUUAGGUAGCGCCUCGUGAAUUCAUCUCCGGGGGUAGAGCACUGUUUCGGCAAGGGGGUCAUCCCGACUUACCAACCCGAUGCAAACUGCGAAUACCGGAGAAUGUUAUCACGGGAGACACACGGCGGGUGCUAACGUCCGUCGUGAAGAGGGAAACAACCCAGACCGCCAGCUAAGGUCCCAAAGUCAUGGUUAAGUGGGAAACGAUGUGGGAAGGCCCAGACAGCCAGGAUGUUGGCUUAGAAGCAGCCAUCAUUUAAAGAAAGCGUAAUAGCUCACUGGUCGAGUCGGCCUGCGCGGAAGAUGUAACGGGGCUAAACCAUGCACCGAAGCUGCGGCAGCGACGCUGAUGCGUUGUUGGGUAGGGGAGCGUUCUGUAAGCCUGCGAAGGUGUGCUGUGAGGCAUGCUGGAGGUAUCAGAAGUGCGAAUGCUGACAUAAGUAACGAUAAAGCGGGUGAAAAGCCCGCUCGCCGGAAGACCAAGGGUUCCUGUCCAACGUUAAUCGGGGCAGGGUGAGUCGACCCCUAAGGCGAGGCCGAAAGGCGUAGUCGAUGGGAAACAGGUUAAUAUUCCUGUACUUGGUGUUACUGCGAAGGGGGGACGGAGAAGGCUAUGUUGGCCGGGCGACGGUUGUCCCGGUUUAAGCGUGUAGGCUGGUUUUCCAGGCAAAUCCGGAAAAUCAAGGCUGAGGCGUGAUGACGAGGCACUACGGUGCUGAAGCAACAAAUGCCCUGCUUCCAGGAAAAGCCUCUAAGCAUCAGGUAACAUCAAAUCGUACCCCAAACCGACACAGGUGGUCAGGUAGAGAAUACCAAGGCGCUUGAGAGAACUCGGGUGAAGGAACUAGGCAAAAUGGUGCCGUAACUUCGGGAGAAGGCACGCUGAUAUGUAGGUGAAGUCCCUCGCGGAUGGAGCUGAAAUCAGUCGAAGAUACCAGCUGGCUGCAACUGUUUAUUAAAAACACAGCACUGUGCAAACACGAAAGUGGACGUAUACGGUGUGACGCCUGCCCGGUGCCGGAAGGUUAAUUGAUGGGGUUAGCGCAAGCGAAGCUCUUGAUCGAAGCCCCGGUAAACGGCGGCCGUAACUAUAACGGUCCUAAGGUAGCGAAAUUCCUUGUCGGGUAAGUUCCGACCUGCACGAAUGGCGUAAUGAUGGCCAGGCUGUCUCCACCCGAGACUCAGUGAAAUUGAACUCGCUGUGAAGAUGCAGUGUACCCGCGGCAAGACGGAAAGACCCCGUGAACCUUUACUAUAGCUUGACACUGAACAUUGAGCCUUGAUGUGUAGGAUAGGUGGGAGGCUUUGAAGUGUGGACGCCAGUCUGCAUGGAGCCGACCUUGAAAUACCACCCUUUAAUGUUUGAUGUUCUAACGUGGACCCGUAAUCCGGGUUGCGGACAGUGUCUGGUGGGUAGUUUGACUGGGGCGGUCUCCUCCUAAAGAGUAACGGAGGAGCACGAAGGUUGGCUAAUCCUGGUCGGACAUCAGGAGGUUAGUGCAAUGGCAUAAGCCAGCUUGACUGCGAGCGUGACGGCGCGAGCAGGUGCGAAAGCAGGUCAUAGUGAUCCGGUGGUUCUGAAUGGAAGGGCCAUCGCUCAACGGAUAAAAGGUACUCCGGGGAUAACAGGCUGAUACCGCCCAAGAGUUCAUAUCGACGGCGGUGUUUGGCACCUCGAUGUCGGCUCAUCACAUCCUGGGGCUGAAGUAGGUCCCAAGGGUAUGGCUGUUCGCCAUUUAAAGUGGUACGCGAGCUGGGUUUAGAACGUCGUGAGACAGUUCGGUCCCUAUCUGCCGUGGGCGCUGGAGAAUUGAGGGGGGCUGCUCCUAGUACGAGAGGACCGGAGUGGACGCAUCACUGGUGUUCGGGUUGUCAUGCCAAUGGCACUGCCCGGUAGCUAAAUGCGGAAGAGAUAAGUGCUGAAAGCAUCUAAGCACGAAACUUGCCCCGAGAUGAGUUCUCCCUGACUCCUUGAGAGUCCUGAAGGAACGUUGAAGACGACGACGUUGAUAGGCCGGGUGUGUAAGCGCAGCGAUGCGUUGAGCUAACCGGUACUAAUGAACCGUGAGGCUUAACCUUACAACGCCGAAGGUGUUU
Molecule: ribosomal RNA, 2933 nt
Filed under: Escherichia coli
Lineage: Bacteria; Pseudomonadati; Pseudomonadota; Gammaproteobacteria; Enterobacterales; Enterobacteriaceae
Description: bacterial LSU rRNA
Rfam family: Bacterial large subunit ribosomal RNA
Source: RNAcentral